GUGUCCACUACUGAUGACCAAAGUUUCACCAUCACUUGCUACUCUAUGACAUUGAUGAGAAAGUUUAAUUGUUUGAAUAAUUUUAUUCUUAUCUAUAUCCACCAGUGAUGUUUGGUUGUCUUAUCCAAAUGUCACAGCUACUGCAUUAUUUCUGACAAAGCAGGCAUCACCUGGAUAUUUUGUGAAUAUAACUACUUUUCUGAUGAAGAUGCCAUCAUGACUGAACAGCAGUAGUUGUCUUUU
This 243-nucleotide long non-coding RNA is filed under the name Mytilus galloprovincialis (Mediterranean mussel). The record is from RNAcentral. Lineage: Eukaryota; Metazoa; Mollusca; Bivalvia; Mytilida; Mytilidae.